AAGGCCGCCGCCGCGUCCCUCCGUGCCAGCGCGUUUCCCUUUCUUCCAGCUUCGAGAACGACUGAAGUGUGGUGAGAGGAGUGACUCUGAAACGUCUGCUUCAAAAGGACCCAACAUUUGCUGGCACACUGGCAGGCACCUGUAAUCCCAGCAACUCCAGAGGCUGAAACGAGAGGAUCCCUUGAGCCUGGAAGUUUGAGGCUGCAAUGAGCUAUGAUGGUGUCACUGCAUUCCAGUCUGGGUGACAGGGUAAGACCCCAUCU
This 263-nucleotide long non-coding RNA is filed under the name Aotus nancymaae (Ma's night monkey). Its description in RNAcentral is "lncRNA (ENSANAG00000039223.1)". Lineage: Eukaryota; Metazoa; Chordata; Mammalia; Primates; Aotidae. The record is from RNAcentral.